Molecule: long non-coding RNA, 5487 nt
Filed under: Nicotiana benthamiana
Lineage: Eukaryota; Viridiplantae; Streptophyta; Magnoliopsida; Solanales; Solanaceae
Description: long non-coding RNA (NBEN_LNC020230)
Source: RNAcentral
UUGCUACCACUUCACUAUUUCUUUAUGUUUUGUUCUCUGUGUACUUGAUAUGUAUAGAAUCUGCUGUCAGGUGAUCUCAUUAGCGGGAACAUUGUCAGUAAAUAACAGUUGCAGUAGGUAUUUUAGUUUCUUAUUUAUUUCAAUCAAAAUCUCCUAUCACUGACUACAUUGGAAAUACCAAGAAACACUGCCCUGCAUCUAUUUUCAACUAAAUUUGGAUCUUCUGGUACGACUAAGACUUAACAGAGGAUUUGGGGUAGUGUAAUUUAUGUAGAAGUUUUUUGGCCAACAUAAGAUAUGUAUUUUGUUUAAGCUAGUUAUCUUGGGCAUAAUGACCUUUAUGCUUUCUAAUAGAAAACUUAUGAUAGGUAUCAUACCUUAAUGCUCCAUUUGGAGUGACAUUAUCAAUGCUUGAACAAGCAAAUAGAUUCUAAGCUCUCACAGCGAUCAUUCUCACGUUAGUGUUAAAUAUCCACUUAUUGGGGCAGAGUGUAAUUAUUUAGACAUGGAAUACUGUUGAUCUUUAGACAAGAGGGGUUGCUCUGAUGGUAAGCACAACCCCCACUUCCAACCGAGAGGUUGUGAGUUCGAGUCUCCCAAGGUGGGAAGUUCUUGGAGGGAAAGAUGCCGGGGGUCUAUUUGGAAACAACCUCUCUACCCAAGGGUAGGGGUAAGGUCUGCGUACACACUACCCUCCCCAGACCUUACUUAGUAGAUUAUACUGGGUUGUUGUUGUUGUUGGAAUGAUGUUGAUCUUUGGUGAAUAUUAACUUUUUUUUUAGUAAGCUUAUUGGUGAACAUACCCACCUGGUGGGAGUAUACUGGGUAGUUGUUGUUGUUGUUGUUAUUGGUGAACAUCAAUUACGUUAUUUGAAAUUGUGGUGCCAAAUUUGUGAGUAGGCAACAAUAUGUUCACUUGGGGUUUGUUUCGAGGUGGAUGACAAUAAUUUGAAAUUUUGAACUGAUUGAUUGGGAAGUUGGUUUGCAGCACAGGUGUGCAGAUGAGGAGACUAAAUGUCAUGUACAUUACUGUAAUCUUGGAUGUUUCUGGUUGUAGGAAAAUGCUGAGGAUAUGCGAAGUGAUACUGAUACCGGAGAUGAACUGCCUGGAAGUAGCAAGGAUGAAGGAGCUUCUGAGAAAAAGCCAAAUCUUAAAUCAGGCAGCAAAGAAGAGACAACAAAAGAAAAGAAAAUUACUAGAACUACUCCGGGGGAGGUUAACAAAGAACUGUUGCAAGUAAGUUACUGGUUACUUUCUCGUAAUUUCUUUUCUGUUUUAUGUUCUCUGUAUGAUGUCUUCUUGCAUCUUCUUGCUCUGGAACAGGCUUUCAGGUUUUUUGACCGUAACCGGGCAGGAUAUGUUAGGGUAAGCCAACUAGCUUGUCCUUGCCCCCCCCCCCCCUCCCCCUUCUCUCUCUCUUGUUGCAUAGGAAACUCAGUCAAGUAUGCGUUUCUCAGGUUGAAGAUUUGAGAUUAAUCAUCCACAACUUGGGGAAAUUCCUUUCUCACAGGGAUGUCAAGGUUGGUUUAUUUUGUAUAUUCAUAGUACCUUUCCUGGUUACUGUGCACGUUUUGCUGACAAUAACACAUGUUGCCCAGGAACUCGUGCAAAGUGCACUUUUGGAGAGUAACACUGGGAGAGAUGAUCGGAUUCUCUACCCCAAGUUGAUCAACAUGGAGUUGUGAAGUUUAUUCCAGGAUUAGCUAGUGGAUUAUUAUCCUUCAUUUAUGAAAUUUAGUGCUGCCUUUUAAAUGAAUUCUUUAAUGGUGAACAAACUCUGCCUUAAUAUAGACUUGCAUUAAGCACACUGGAUGGUGAGUUAAUUUAUAAAAUAUUUAAAACUUGUGGGAGUAUUUUCUUAGGGGCCUAUGGUCCUCAAUUAGUGUGACAAUUUGACUCUUCGAUAUGACUACGUAUAGCGUAAACCAGACAGCGUGCUAUGUUGGUCUCAAGGGUAAAGUAUUUACAGGUCGCUGGUUCUUAAUAAAAGGGUGCCCGGUUUCUAUCAUAGAGCCUAACCACAGGAACAGAGUGUAUUGAGUAUGACUUCAAAGUUAUUGCUUCUCAAUCAAGAAGCAAAUGUCCUCAAAGUCGUAGAGAGUUAAAAUUGGUGAGACUAUGCUUGUUUGGCCCUAAUCCUUACUAGGUUGGGAUAGAUUGAUUAUACUUUUGGUUGAUGGUAGGGGUGGUAAAGCGGAUCGGGUUGGAUAUGGGUGGGUGAAAACAAUAAUGCAAAAUGGAUAAAUUAUUUAAUUCGAGCUAUAUUUAAUACAGAUAAAAAAUAGAUUUUAUAGUAGCCGGUGGAUUCAAGGUUUCUUGAAUAUGAUAGAAUUUUUAAUCUCUUAAAUUUUUGGAACACUCAAUUUAGGUCUUUGCAAGUGUAGAAGUUAAUUGCAUUGAUUAUCUAUUGAUUGUGGGUGAUUUGACCCAUUUUAAAAAAUAAAUUAUUCUAACUUAUUUUGUAGUGGACAAUAUGGAUAACUGUUUUUUUAAAUUCAUUUUAUCAUUACUAGUUGAUGGGAUAGGUGAUGAUAGUGGCCGGUGGUGGCAAGAUGGUUAAAAGAAAAUAGCUAUACAGCCAUAUUAUCCAUUAAUAAUGGGUUGGAUAAUUAAUUUUUUAAAAACGGAUCGAAUAUGGAUAAAUAGUUAUAUUAUUUACUUAAAAAAUGGUUAACCAAAUGGAUAACUAAUGUGUUUAACUAUAAUAUUUAUAAAACUUCAAAUUGGGAUUCCUCAAGUUUGGAAGAUUAGUAAUUCUCCCAUAAGUGACUAUAUUCAAGAAGACAUGGAUAUUGGAUUAUAUGAAUAUCCAUAUUAUCCAUCCGAUAAUUCAUUUUUUAUCCAUAUAAAUACGGGUCGAGUCAGAUAAUUUAUCCGCUUUUUGAAUUACCCAUUUUCUACCCGUUCAUAUCUGAUCCGAUCUCGCCCGUUUACUAUGCCUAGUAGUGGCAGAACUACUGCUGAUAGUAGUAGUAUUAAUUUUGAAGUCAUAUACACCACGCUUUGAUGGUAUCGUGCCUCUGUCUUCAAGCAAUCGGCGAAAGAUAAGAACUUGGAGUUUGAUUAUGAUGAAAAUUAGGUAGUCUGUGGCUGUCAACAGUUCAUCCAGAGGGUGGAAAAAGGAAGAAGCAGAAGGGGAAUCUAGGCUUGAGGUAAGGGUGUUGAUGGAUUUUUAAAAAUCAACCGAACUGUACCCAAAUGAUGAUUACCUUUUUUUAAUAAAAUCGUAGUUUUUAUAUUAGACUUAUAAUUGUACCGAAUGACAGGUUAGGUUUUUAAUUUUAUAAAAAUAGAUCCAAAAAAUAUUGAAUCGUACCCAAUAAAUUUAUUUAAAAAAUAUAUUUUAUACUAAGGUUAAAAUUAACAAAACAUUAAGUUUUUUUCUUGGUCUGGAUUAUGAAAUGGCUAUAAGUGACCAAAUAAUAAAUAUCCAAAGCUUUUAACUUCCAAACAUAUUCUACUGCUCAUUCCAAUGGUCAGUGGCAAGCCACAAGGUAUUAGAUAUCUUUCCUCUCAUAUGAUUUAUAUCUCUUUUUAUUGGAUAUUAUUCUUUUAAUAAACUUUAUUUUUGAGUCUCAACUGGAUUAGUCUCUUUCCACUCGUAUGAUAUAUAUUUCUAGUCAUUGCUUAAUUUGUUUUACGCUACCAUAGAAUAGUGAGAUGAAUCUAUAUUCUGGAUAUCUUUCAUGUUCUUUGAUCAUCAAUUUUAAAUUAGUAAAAAUAUCUAGAGAGUUUUGCCAAAAUCCUAUGCAAGUACACAUUUAUCGCAUUCUAACUUUGACUAGGGCUCUUGCAUGACAUUUUAAAAAAUUACUGAAAAAUUAGCCGAACCAUACCGAUACCGUAGAGAAAUCGAGAUGACUGGGGCGAUUUUGAAAAGUUUAAUUUUGAUUAUACAAAAUAAAAUAACCGAUACAAAUUUUAUAACCGGUCGAACCGAACUAUUCAUACCCAGGUCCAGUUGUCUCUAGAGGCUACAAAAAAAAUAAAAAAAUAAAAACUUAUGGUCAUUAGCUAUUCUCUGUCGACAAAUUCGUAGGAUGUUUUAUCUAUCUCCCUAUGAAUCGAGUUAGAAAACAACCAUGCUUCAAGUCCAGACUGGUUAGGAGCAACUAUAUAUAUCACUUAUAUACAGAGUUGCUAAUAAGUUUGUCACGUCACAGGGAAAAUUUCCUUGUCGUUGGUAAAAAAACCUUCCCUUACUUUUAACUUUAGGGAGAAUGAUACUGUAUACAUGCUCUCAAAACAAUAGCCGAACUUUCCAAAUUUUUUUGGUAUAUACAUACAUUUUGUUAUGUUAUAUACAAAAUUAUGUAAAAACUUUAUACUCUUUCGACUAACGAAUGUAAAUAGUUUCUGGCGCGGGCUAAAAGUGAAAAAGCCCUUAACUUUACAGUCAGUACUAGCAGCUGAUGGGGCGAUCAGUUAGUAAUAAAUUACAGAUAUUAGCACCAACAAAGAGAGGUUGUGAGUUCGAGUCUCCCCAAGAGCAAGGUGGAAAGUUCUUGGAAGGAUGGAUGCCGGGGGUCUAUUUGGAAACAACCUCUCUACCCAAGGGUAGGGGUAAGGUCUGCGUACACACUACCCUCCCCAGACCCCACUAAGUGGGAUUAUACUGGGUUGUUGUUGUUGUUAUAUUAGCACCAACAAAAAUCAGCGGCCGCCACGCCAAUGGUGGUCACCAGAAAGAAAUAAUAAUAUUUAGUAUGGAGUUGAGCAAUCGUUAAGGGAAAGGAAUUUAGAAUGUUAAACUGCCGCAAAUGAUCAACCAACUGGAGAAUUACAAACAAAAGUUAAAACGACAUUAAAAUAACAAGAAAGUUAACAAAUACAAGCAAUAACAGUCAAUACAAAUGAGUCAUUCUGGAUAAGCAGCAUAAAUUCUUGCACUGAGGGAACUUUAGCCACUUAAGGGCUAGGCAGAGGUGGCAAUGGCACUGGCAGCUCUGGGAGUGGCAGCUUUGGUAUAGGUACUGGCAAAUCCGGCUUUGGCAAAGUUGGUAGCUGAGGCAUUGGAAGCUGUGGCAGUGGCAGCUUUGGCAUAGGUAAUGUAGGCAAUGUAGGCAAUCCAGGCUGUGGCAAUGCUGGUAGCUCGGGUUUCGGGAGGCCAAUGGGGAGAUCAGGCAAAGGUGCAUCCAGAAGACGGCGAGCCUCUGCUUGAACUGCAAGGCUGCUGAUUGAUGCUAAGGCGACGAGGAAGAGAAGGUAAAGGGAGUGAUGAGCCAUUUUUGAUUUAGUACAGUUUCAAGUGAUGUUUUGUGUUUUGGUGAAUGAAGACUGAGAGUUGAUGAGAGUUUAUAUAGACAGCAGUGUUUGAAGAAUGGUAACUAUAAAUGAUUUGUGUGGUGAGGAAAAGAAUUGUGGUUGUUAACCUUCUACACCACAAGUACUUAUUUUACUAUGAAAUAGUAUUAUCUUCAAGAAAAAUUUAUGGUCUUUGUUUUCAUCUAUGUACAGCUCAUGACCUCUAUACUUUUACGUCCCAA